GUGAGGAAUAUUGGACAAUGGGCGCAAGCCUGAUCCAGCCAUGCCGCGUGCAGGAAGACGCAUCUAUGGUGUGUAAACUGCUUUUGUACGGGAAGAAACACUCCCUCGUGAGGGAGCUUGACGGUACCGUAAGAAUAAGGAUCGGCUAACUCCGUGCCAGCAGCCGCGGUAAUACGGAGGAUCCAAGCGUUAUCCGGAAUCAUUGGGUUUAAAGGGUCCGUAGGCGGUGUAAUAAGUCAGUGGUGAAAGCCCAUCGCUCAACGAUGGAACGGCCAUUGAUACUGUUAGUCUUGAAUUACAAGGAAGUAACUAGAAUAUGUAGUGUAGCGGUGAAAUGCUUAGAUAUUACAUGGAAUACCAAUUGCGAAGGCAGGUUACUACUUGUGGAUUGACGCUGAUGGACGAAAGCGUGGGGAGCGAACAGGAUUAGAUACCCGUGUAGUCC
This 445-nucleotide ribosomal RNA is filed under the name uncultured bacterium. RNAcentral describes it as "partial 16S ribosomal RNA". It matches the Rfam family "Bacterial small subunit ribosomal RNA", at positions 354 to 796 of the family's 1533-position model. The record is from RNAcentral.